Molecule: ribosomal RNA, 366 nt
Filed under: Triticum aestivum (bread wheat)
Lineage: Eukaryota; Viridiplantae; Streptophyta; Magnoliopsida; Poales; Poaceae
Description: partial small subunit ribosomal RNA
Source: RNAcentral
AUGAACCGGAUUAAAGCGCUGGCUCAAUCAGGAUUGACAGUAAUCGAGGUUAUGUCAAUAUGCGUAAUGCGGGGAGUGCAGUCACUUCAAUAUCGAGGGCACCCCCUGUGGUGUUUUAACGGGGAAGAUGAUGCCACCCGUUGUGGGCAUAAGGGUCCGGACAACACUGCUGCUUUAACAAAAAUUCUGUCCGAGUUGUUCAAGGGAGAGGAGGAGGAGUUCAUCCGCAUCAAGCCACGGGAUGGAUUCUCCAUGUACAACCCUCAAAGCUGGGUGAGUUAUAUCUCCUUACUCCCACUCUUCCCGCAUUCUUUGUCGUUGGUACUCACCUUGCCAUUUUGCGGCAGGAACUGCGAAAAGCCAUAA